AACCAGUACCUUUCUGAGAAGA
RNAcentral lists this microRNA (22 nucleotides) under Mus musculus (house mouse). Its description in RNAcentral is "mmu-miR-470-3p". Its record names the gene mmu-miR-470-3p. Lineage: Eukaryota; Metazoa; Chordata; Mammalia; Rodentia; Muridae. The record is from miRBase by way of RNAcentral.